Molecule: non-coding RNA, 278 nt
Organism: Maylandia zebra (zebra mbuna)
Lineage: Eukaryota; Metazoa; Chordata; Actinopteri; Cichliformes; Cichlidae
Source: RefSeq, a predicted model, not a curated record
CCCCCACCCAGAAACACUCCCGUGUGCUCGUCAGAGGAGGAGCAGGAGGACAUAAGCACAGUGGAGGACCAGGCCGAGUACACGGAGGACUUCAUCUACAGUUCACAGGAUCAGAGUUUCCAGACCUCCGGAGUUUACAGCGCCACUGAGACCUCCACCAAUCAGGAUGAGCAGGAAGGAGGCGUGGCUGACUCUCCCACGAGAUCAGACGUGAACUUCAGCUACAGCCAGCAGGUAGUGAAGCCGCUGUCAGUCAUCUGCUCGUCUCCAUCUUCCUC